This 463-nucleotide ribosomal RNA is filed under the name uncultured bacterium. Its description in RNAcentral is "partial 16S ribosomal RNA". It matches the Rfam family "Bacterial small subunit ribosomal RNA", at positions 28 to 507 of the family's 1533-position model. The record is from RNAcentral.
GAUGAACGCUGACAGAAUGCUUAACACAUGCAAGUCGAUGGGGAAGUGGUGCUUGCACCAUGGUAACCAUGGCGGACGGGUGAGUAACGCGUAAGGAACUUACCUGCGGGACCGGGAUAACAGCAGGAAACUGCUGACAAGACCGGAUAAGGUCAUUAAGCUGCAUAGCUUAGUGAUGAAAGGAGACGCCUGCGGAGAGCCUUGCGUCCUAUUAGCUAGUUGGAGGGGUAACGGCCCACCAAGGCGAAGAUAGGUAGCCGGCCUGAGAGGUUGGACGGCCACAAGGGGACUGAGAUACGGCCCUUACGCCUACGGGAGGCAGCAGUGGGGAAUAUUGGACAAUGGGGGCAACCCUGAUCCAGCAAUUCUGUGUGCACGAAGACGGUUUUCGGAUUGUAAAGUGCUUUCAGCAGGGAAGAAGGAAGUGACGGUACCUGCAGAAGAAGCGACGGCUAAAUACGUG